RNAcentral lists this ribosomal RNA (491 nucleotides) under uncultured bacterium. RNAcentral's name for it is "partial 16S ribosomal RNA". It matches the Rfam family "Bacterial small subunit ribosomal RNA", at positions 28 to 507 of the family's 1533-position model. The record is from RNAcentral.
GAUGAACGCUGGCUACAGGCUUAACACAUGCAAGUCGAGGGGAAACGCCGGGGAAGCUUGCUUCCCCGGGCGUCGACCGGCGCACGGGUGAGUAACGCGUAUCCAACCUGCCUCUGACUGAGGGAUAACCCGUCGAAAGUCGGCCUAAUACCUCAUGGUAUCGUCUGCGGGCAUCCAACGACGAUUAAAGAUUUCAUCGGUCAGGGAUGGGGAUGCGUCUGAUUAGCUUGUUGGCGGGGUAACGGCCCACCAAGGCUACGAUCAGUAGGGGUUCUGAGAGGAAGGUCCCCCACAUUGGAACUGAGACACGGUCCAAACUCCUACGGGAGGCAGCAGUGAGGAAUAUUGGGCAAUGGGCGAGAGCCUGAACCAGCCAAGUAGCGUGCAGGAAGACGGCCCUAUGGGUUGUAAACUGCUUUUAGGCGGGGAUAAAGUGAGGGACGUGUCCCUCAUUGCAGGUACCGCAUGAAUAAGGACCGGCUAAUUCCGUG